RNAcentral lists this ribosomal RNA (497 nucleotides) under uncultured bacterium. Its description in RNAcentral is "partial 16S ribosomal RNA". It matches the Rfam family "Bacterial small subunit ribosomal RNA", at positions 28 to 507 of the family's 1533-position model. The record is from RNAcentral.
GAUGAACGCUGGCGGCGUGCCUAAUACAUGCAAGUCGAGCGAACAGACGAGGAGCUUGCUCCUCUGACGUUAGCGGCGGACGGGUGAGUAACACGUGGAUAACCUACCUAUAAGACUGGGAUAACUUCGGGAAACCGGAGCUAAUACCGGAUAAUAUAUUGAACCGCAUGGUUCAAUAGUGAAAGACGGUUUUGCUGACACUUAUAGAUGGAUCCGCGCCGCAUUAGCUAGUUGGUAAGGUAACGGCUUACCAAGGCAACGAUGCGUAGCCGACCUGAGAGGGUAAUCGGCCACACUGGAACUGAGACACGGUCCAGACUCCCACGGGAGGCAGCAGUAGGGAAUCUUCCGCAAUGGGCGAAAGCCUGACGGAGCAACGCCGCGUGAGUGAUGAAGGUCUUCGGAUCGUAAAACUCUGUUAUUAGGGAAGAACAAAUGUGUAAGUAACUAUGCACGUCUUGACGGUACCUAAUCAGAAAGCCACGGCUAACUACGUG